Benincasa hispida (wax gourd) is the source of this 1108-nucleotide non-coding RNA. Lineage: Eukaryota; Viridiplantae; Streptophyta; Magnoliopsida; Cucurbitales; Cucurbitaceae. The record is from RefSeq and is a predicted model, not a curated record.
GGAACACUUUGGAAAUUUUCUGCAAAUCAUACCAAAUUGUGUCGUAAUGGAAUAUGACCCAUAUUUUGAAAAAAAGGAAAAAAAUUUGCUAUUGUUGAAACACCUUAAAACGUAACAGAAGCCCUCGUUAGCUCAGGCUUCUUUAAUCUUACUCACUCAUAUGCUCCAUAAUGUUGGUCAAUCUCUCUGUCAAUCAUGUUCUCACUCUGGUUCAAACUCUAGCUCUCAUUCUCUCUCGUGCUCUCUCUUUUGAUCGAGCUUUUCUUGAUUUUGAAGGUGAAGAGGAUGUUGAGAACAGGGGAGGGAGGGAGGAAGGAGAUGAGAGGGAAAAAAGACGAGAGAAGGAAGUGAGAAUUUGUUUUGUUUUAUUUGCGGCAAUUUCUCUAAGUGGAUGUUUGAUGGGUGAGGUGGACUUAGGUUGGGUGGGCUUAAAAAGCUCAUCCGAUGUUUGAUGUACGUUGAAAUUAAAACGGUGAGUUUAAAACUCACCGUAUUACCUUCUCAAUCUCUCUCCUCAUUUCACGCCUCAAUUGCAGGUUCUUAAUUACUCUACCCCGUAAAAUGAAGGGAGAAAUUGAGAAGACUUAUCCACGGACUCCUUUGAUAAAGUGUGUUGGUAAGUCCCUGAUCCUUCCUUAUUAUUUCAACUUUCUCUUAAAUCCGUUUUAAUUCUAGUAUGUGUUGUCUAGCUGUUGCAAUAUACUUUGUUUCCUUCUUCCACCUCUAACGUCAACUUAUUCCAUCCAUAUAAGGUAUGCUUCCUUCUUUCCUUAUAAUCGAAGUAAGAUCUGUCGUUAACAUUUUCUUGUUUUUGUUAGGCCUUGAACAUAUUAUUCUACCCCCCUAGUUAUGGACUGUCUCGACCCUCGCUCACUCCAAACAUAAACAAAGAACCCAAACUAAUUGAACAUACCUUUCGUAACUAGUUUGAAGUUCGUAAGUUUUAAGUUUGGAAUGAUCUUCGUUACUGUCUAUUCUUUCUUGUACUUAUUGGGAACUGUUUAGUUGAAAUGUAUUAUGGUUAUGUAUUUUGGACUUGUAUGUUAGACAUUUUCCCAUAUUUUCUCCAUUAUGAGAAUAUUGGAUUUUUUUUUUAUCCUCUGUUUCU